UACGUAGGGCGCAAGCGUUAUCCGGAAUUAUUGGGCGUAAAGAGCUCGUAGGCGGCUCGUUGCGUCAGCUGUGAAAACCCGCAGCUCAACUGUGGGCCUGCAGCUGAUACGGGCGGGCUGGAGUUCGGUAGGGGAGACUGGAAUUCCUGGUGUAGCGGUGAAAUGCGCAGAUAUCAGGAGGAACACCGGUGGCGAAGGCGGGUCUCUGGGCCGAUACUGACGCUGAGGAGCGAAAGCGUGGGGAGCGAACAGG
This 253-nucleotide ribosomal RNA is filed under the name uncultured bacterium. Its description in RNAcentral is "partial 16S ribosomal RNA". It matches the Rfam family "Bacterial small subunit ribosomal RNA", at positions 524 to 776 of the family's 1533-position model. The record is from RNAcentral.